AGAGUUUGAUCAUGGCUCAGAAUCAACGCUGGCGGCAUGCCUAACACAUGCAAGUCGAGCGAGAAAGUGUAGCAAUACAUGAGUAAAGCGGCGCACGGGUGAGUAACACGUGGAUAACCUGCCUCAAAGUGGGGAAUAACACCGGGAAACCGGUGCUAAUACCGCAUAUUCUGACGAGAUCUGCGGAUUUUGUCAGUAAAGGAGCAAUUCGCUAUGAGAGGGGUCCGCGGCUGAUUAGCUAGUUGGUGAGGUAAUGGCUCACCAAGGCUUCGAUCAGUAGCCGGUCUGAGAGGACGGUCGGCCACACUGGAACUGAGACACGGUCCAGACUCCUACGGGAGGCAGCAGUGGGGAAUUUUUCGCAAUGGGGGCAACCCUGACGAAGCAAUGCCGCGUGGAUGAUGAAGUAUCUCGGUACGUAAAAUCCUUUCGACGGGGACGAAACCGCAAGGUGACGGUACCCGUAGAAGAGC
RNAcentral lists this ribosomal RNA (473 nucleotides) under uncultured Acidobacteriaceae bacterium. RNAcentral describes it as "bacterial SSU rRNA". It matches the Rfam family "Bacterial small subunit ribosomal RNA", at positions 8 to 490 of the family's 1533-position model. The record is from RNAcentral. Lineage: Bacteria; Pseudomonadati; Acidobacteriota; Terriglobia; Terriglobales; Acidobacteriaceae.